CCAGAUGAUGGCCACCUCCUUGGGCACCUGUGUGCUCCCACCCAACCCCGAGUUAGCAUGUCAUGCAUUGUUUAUGAAGUGUUUGUCUGGACUCAAGGUGAGCCGGGGAAUCAGUGAGACAAAUAAAUAAAUAAUUGCCAGCGGCACUGAGCGCAAGGGCCACGAGGGAGGGUGGCAGGGAUUGUUUACCUUGGGGGCUUGCAUAUUUCAUCACCGUGCAAUCUCCUGACCCCCUCUUCCCUCCUCUACCCCCCUCUCCUGAUGUUGCUGUGAUGAGAGUUUCUAUUAUCCAGCACACCCGUUUGUAAGUCUAUUUACGACCCAGGCAUCAUCGGUUUGUGUGUGAGAGAGAUGGCCCAUCCCCAGAUUAGUUAAAUUGGAAAUAAAUUGGUUGUUAAAUAAAAGCCCUCUGUGGGAUGUGAGAGUGAUGAAUGAGGGAUGGCUGUGCCUGGGGAAGGGAGGGGUGGCUUUCUGGAUUGAGACUGUAGAACUGAACUGCCCUGGGAAACUUGGGUGCGAGUCUGGGAUGGUCCGGAGGGCUGAGGGCAGAGAAAGCCUGAGCGGGGGUGGAGCGUAAGGGGGCCGGGCGCUGGAGGACAUCCUGGGAGGGAAAUUGAGGGUGGAGGACUUUAUCCCCCACUAGAACUGUAUUUUAUUUGCUUAUGGCAUACAGAGUACUUUUACAUAUGUUAUGCCUUUGCUUUUAUAACUUUGUGACAUGUUUUUCAGACUUGACAGAUAACGAAAACUCUAGUGAAAUGGCUUGACUUGCCCGUGGUCAUUGUCAAAUGAAAACAAUUCCGGACUUGGUACUGGAGUUGAACCCAGGACCUUGUGCAUGCUAAGCAUGCACACUGCCACUUGAGCUAUACCCUCCCCCUCAAAGGGAUUUCUAAAUGACAAGCCAGAGAUACGAGGACUGCCGUGAUAGUGACGUGGAGGGUGUUCGUGCAUCCCGGGCAGCCCUGUGGUUUACCAGAGGCUCCAGACAACGACUCGAGCUCCAGCCAUGGCCCCACGGGGGCUUUUCAUCUAACAGGAUCCUCAGCCAGCCUAAGGGACCAGCUUGGAGACCAGCCUGGAAUCAGAUAGACCUGUGGUUCAAAUUCCGCACUGCCAGCUAUAGACAGGGUCGGACAUGCCAUGUUAAACUGGAGAUACCCUGAUCUGUGACCUUGGAAAAAGGGAACAGACUGGCCAAAGGCAGGGCCUGGACCGGAUGACCUCUAGGAGAUAUGGGGACCACUAACUGGAGCACAGAAUCAUAGGAUGCUGGUACCUGGCCCCAGUGAACCAGAGGGAAGGACUCACUCUUCAAUCAGUUCCUUAAUCGGCAGAUAGACAUCAAACACCUAUCAUGGGCUGGUGUCCCUGAGGUUGCGCCUAGCCCAGGGAGGUUCCAAACGGAGCCAGGUGGUGGGGAACAAUCUCUGUGGCACAUGUCAGCUCAGCAGGGCUCCCCUUCGCAGCGGGCUGCUAAUAGCCGAGGAGCCGCAGACCUGUCUCCUUCCCUGGGAUUAAUUCAUUACUCCAGCCCUACUCGGAUUCCGUCAGGUUCGAACGUCAGAACUGAAUAUGCAGCUAAUGAGUCUGAUGCUCUCUCUAUCUCUCCGGGUCCUGGGCUCCCGCUUCCCCAUCGUCUCGCUGUCUGCAGACAAUUGCAGUUUCCUCUGGAUAUGUGCCCAGGACUGGGAUUGCUGGAUGAUAUGGCUUCCCGAGGUCUGUGAACUUGUUGCACCUGCCACAGCACGGGGUACAGUCCCUUGUCUAUGGCAGGUGAUGGGUUGAACAUCCCUGAGAGUGAAUUUGAGACCACAGGAAGGCCGCCGUCACAGUGCUGUUUUCGACAUGGUUACUACAAGACAUUGAAUAUAGUUCCCUGUGCUCUACAGAAGAAGUCUGUUUAUUUUAUAUAUAGUAGUUAAUUUCUGCAAAUCUCAAACUCCCAAUUUAUCCCUUCCCACCCGCUUUCCCCCCGGUAACCAUAAGUUUGUUUUCUGUGUCGGUGUGUCUGUUUCUGUUUUGUAAAUAAGUUCAUUUGGGUCUUUUUCUCUUUUUUGAUUCCACACCAGGUCACUUGUUCCUUAGACUCCUCCUGCUUCCAGCCAUCAGUCAAUUGAUCAAGCGUCAUCCUUUAUGACUCUAGUUCAAAACCUUCAGUGACACUCCUUGGCCUCAAAAAGAAGUCCAAACUCCAAAGCCCCAAUGAACCUAAUUUCCCACUCUCUGCUCUUUCCACCCUUGCAACAUUUACUGCCCAAAAUUCGAGUUUAUUUAUAACACUCCCCUCGCCACCCCAAUGCACUCUGCAAUUUCCUCCCAGGCAUCCCUUCAUAGGCCUCGUUCUGUCUUCCUACAGCUACACAACCCACUUCCUGGGCCCAAUUUAGACCUUACCUCUCCCAGGAAGAACUUUUUGGCUUCCCUAGCCCACAUCCCCUUUUAGUUUAACAUCUGUUGAGUGUGUACCAUGUGCCAAGCACUCUCUGUGUGCCAUCUCAUUUAGUAGCUCUGUGGCUACGGCUUUGCUGUGAAUUCCAAAGGUGAAGUACCUUGCUCAGAGUUACACAGUUAGUUGCAAGUUCAAGACUGGUACUGAACCUGACAUUUUUAAAUCCAAAGCAUUGUUCUGAACCCUGUCAUAUACAAAACGAUCUGGUCUUUGUACUCAUUAUGCAAAGAAUAAAUAGCCUCCCCUCCCCUCGGUGACACCAAGGGCUAUGAGUACUAUAAGAAAAUGUGGGGUUUAGGGUUUAUAAUUUUGAGGCAACGUGAUGGUUUAUAAGAUACUGAACUAGGACUCAGGGAACCUGUCUCGUCGCUCUGUUAGUGGGUGCAUCACUCAACCUUUCUGGGCCUGUUUUUCCUUUUGUUAAAAGCCAAAGCAUAACUCCUGUGACUCAGGCUUUGGUGAAGGUCAAAUUAAAUUAUGCCACCACUCUGUAGCCUGUGAAAGCAAGAUGGAAUUAUUAUUAUUGUCAUCAUUUUCAUUGUUUCCCUCCAUAGAUGAAUGACGUCCUGAAUUGAGUAAUAGGCAGUGGGUAGCAAGGGUGGUGUCCUGCAUAGUAAAGGACACAAAACAAAGGCACACAGUGGACAUUUGAAAAAUUCCCGACAGGCUAGGGAAUCGUUAGAUUUUGCCAACAACCUCAAUCAGAUCAAGAUGCCUCUACUAGGAAGCCCCAGGCAGGGCUGACGCACGCGCUUCAAGGCAUCUGCAAAGCUUCCGAUACUGGACAGUUCUGGGAAGGAGGAGCCAUUGGUUUCAUUAGAUUCUCAGGGGAGUCCGUGUUCCCCAGAAGGGUGAGGAGGCAGUGGCUUAAGAAACAGGGCUUGGCUGUGGAACCAGGCACAGGCUCGAAGCUGGAAAGAAGGUCCCUUUGACUCAGAAAUGGAGGUCAGGUAUGGGGUGGUCCUGGGGGUUACCUGAAGUACAGCUAAUUUGGAGCUCACCUGGCAGGGUCCUAGACAAGUUCACCUCCAGGCCAGUGAGGGGUCUCCCAGGGAGGUGGCCUUAGGUCUCACAUGAAGUCACAUCUGUUCAGAGACAAGGGGGACUUCCUGGAAAUGGGGAGUCUCCUGUCCUGAGAAGCGUUUAGCUCGGCAUGAACCAGACACAGAUUUUGCAGACAGGAUUCUAGCACUAGGUGGGGUGCUGGGCUAAAAGGUCCCUACGCGUGCUUCCACCUUUGAAUUGUUUCUCUGAUUAAAGUGUUAAGCAGUGUGGAGUAGACACGAUCACUUAGCUGGAUACCGGGGUAUCUACCUUGCGCCCCUAAAUUCCUCAGCCUGUUGCUAAUUCAAUUUUGUAUUUCUUAGAUGGCUGUGCAUGUGACUGUUUCAGAGCAUCCACUGGAGAGAUUUAUGUGGAAGAGAACAGAUGGUUCUGGGCUGGGUCCCCAAGGCCGUGUCUAAGGAGGGGAAAGCUGUUCUAGUGAAGCUGCCAGAGCCCAGAGCAAACUGUGUUCUGUGGAGCAGUGGAGAGUCCCUGAUAUUUGGUGUUUAUGCUAGAGCAGGCAGAUAGCUAGAGAUGAGCAGAGAAAGGGGGACAUAGGCCGAAUGGCAGGAAGUGGGCAAAAAGAAGGGGUACAGGCCAAAAUGCAGGAAACCUUACAUCAUGUAAGCAACAGGGGUCCCUGGGCAGAGAAAGAAAAGCAGAAACUUCUGGGCUGAUAAGUGGUCACAUCUUUUGGGGUGACAAGCGGCCUGGAGGCCAACAAAGAAAGGUGGGAAAAGGCAGGAAUCUCCAGUGUCUGAAUGUAACCUUUUGCUCAUUAUGCCCUCAUUUCAAUAAAAUUAGCCUUGCAGAUUAGAAGUUCCCAUCAUGCACCGAGGCCAUAACACUUCCAAUCCAGGCCAAAUAAGAACAAAAACCCCUCCUCCCCUCGGGAAGGUGGAGUUGGGAUGAAAAUCAGAAUACGACCCCAAACUCUUCCCUCCCCAAUGAAUAUCUCAACCAUUCGUUUUUACACUCUGUGUAACCAACUUGCCAAAGAAACUCAGGGCAGCUGCUCACCUGAGCCUGCCCGCUCUCCCCUUGAGAGCGUACUAUCCAUCCCUUAAUAAAUCCUCACUUUAACCUUCACGUCUUAUCUAUGAAUUCUUUCUGGGACGGAAUGAGAACCUGGACACGGGCUACAUCUACCAGCAACAUUUUGACAAAAAUGGCUUUGCUGUCACAUAUGUGUGGGGAUUCUGGAUGAAAUAAAAUCAAAUCGCUUUUUGUUUAUUUGCUCGUUUGUUUUGCUUCCUCAAAUCUUGUCACUUUCCAAGAAGGGAGCACAAUAUGCGGCAUCUCCCUAAUUUUUUCAAGCAUGGACACUUCUUUCCCCCAAGGAACAAUUCUCAAGGCCAGUGUUACAAAGAAUACACUAACAUUGCCCAAGACAACUUUGUCAGAUACCCUCUGUCUU
Molecule: long non-coding RNA, 4913 nt
Organism: Camelus dromedarius (Arabian camel)
Lineage: Eukaryota; Metazoa; Chordata; Mammalia; Artiodactyla; Camelidae
Exons: 6
Source: RefSeq, a predicted model, not a curated record